RNAcentral lists this ribosomal RNA (1653 nucleotides) under Candidatus Pacearchaeota archaeon. RNAcentral describes it as "bacterial SSU rRNA". It matches the Rfam family "Archaeal small subunit ribosomal RNA", at positions 1 to 1036 of the family's 1478-position model. Lineage: Archaea; Nanobdellati. The record is from RNAcentral.
AAUCCAGUUUAUCCUGCUGGCGGCUGCGGCUAUCUGAUUUGCACUUAGACAUGCAAGUCUGUCGAGAGACGGCGUACUGCUCAGUAACACGUAGCUAACCUGCCCUAUAGUCGAUGAUAACGUCGGGAAACUGACGGUAAACAUCGAUAGAAGAUUUUUUCUGGAAUGAUAGAUCUUCCAAAUUAGAGCUGUAGGAUGGGGCUGCGGCUGAUUAGGUAGUUGGCGGGGUAAAUGCCCACCAAGCCGAUUAUCAGUAAGGGCCUUUAGCGAGGAAACCCUGAGAGGGAGUCUGAGACACUACUCCCAGCCCUACGGGGUGCAGCAGUCGGGAAAAUUUUGCAAUGCGCGGAGCAAGUCAGAGUGAUUUUCCGUAUUGGAAAAUCUUUUGUGUGAUGUAAACAUUCAUACGAAUAAGGAGUGGGAGAGACUGGUGCCAGCCGCCGCGGUAAUCCCAGCACUCCAAGUCGCAGCCACAAUUAUUGGGUCUAAAACAUCCGUAGCUUGCUUUGUAAGUCUUUUGUGAAAUCGGGCAUCUUAAGUGUCCGGCGAGCAAAAGAUACUGUAAAGCUAGGGACCGGGAGAUGUGAAGAGUACAAAUAAUGUAGCGGUAAAAUGCGUUGAUCUUAUUUGGACUAACAACAGCGAAGGCACUUUACAAGAACGGAUCCGACAGUGAGGGAUGAAGGCUAGGGGCGCAAAUUGGAUUAGAUACCCAAGUAGUCCUAGCAGUAAACACUGCACACUGAACAUCGGGGCCUCUUCGGGAGGUUUCGGUGCUGUAGAGAAGUCGGAGAGUGUGCUACCUGGGAAGUAUAGUCGCAAGGCCGAAACUUAAAGGAAUAGGCGGGGGAGUACUACAACGAGUGACGCGUGCGGUUCAAUUAGAUUCUACACCGUGAACCUCACCAGGACCGAAUCAGUCAAUCCGCUACUACAGGUAAGGUUUAUAAAUGACGACGUUCUUAAGUGUCGUAUGGGCAAGCGGAAGCCCCCAUAUAAUGCCAUGAGACAGGAUGUAAACUUGACGCUGUUAAGCAAGGAAGAAAUUGGUUAUCUCUUUGGGUUUUUUGUUGGAGAUGGAAACAUAUUUACAAGCAGAAAACUUGGAGUUUAUAGAGUAAGAAUAUUUACCUUCAUCAAAGAAGUAAAUAUUCAAAAUAAAUUAAGGGAGAUUCUUCGUACGAUAUUGAAGAAUUUUCGUGAAUAUAAGGAACAAGAUAACACUUAUGUGUUUGAGUUUCACUCUAAAGAUUUUAUUAACAAAAUGUUAAAAAUUGUUGAUAAAAAUGGGCUUAAAAAAAUAAUUUCUAAGAAGUCUGAGAGAGCUUUUAUCGAGGGUCUUAUAGACAGCGAUGGCUAUGUUCAAAGAAACUAUUGUGAGAUAACCACAGUCAAUCCAAAACUGAAAAGCAAUAUCAUCGAAAUAUUGAAAAGAUUUGGAGUCAAAAGCAUCACAAGGAAAUUUCCUAGAAACCAUCACCUGGAUGGUUUCAGAGUUGGAUUUUCCCUAAACGGUAAAAUUUUCUUUCCGUGUAAGUGGGUUACUGGUGUCCAGACAGCAGGAUGAAGGUCAGUCUAAAGGGCUUACCUGACACGCUGAGAGGAGAUGCAUGGCCGACGUCAGCCUGUGUCGUGAGAUGACCAGUUAAAUCU